ACGAACGCUGGCGGCGUGCCUAACACAUGCAAGUCGAGCGGAGAUUCGGGGGAGCUGCUCCACCGGGAUUCAGCGGCGGACGGGUGAGUAACGCGUGAGCAACCUGCCUUCAACGAGGGGAUAACGCAUCGAAAGAUGUGCUAAUACCGCAUGAGACCACAACAUCACAUGGUGAAGGGGUCAAAGGAGCAAUCCGGUUGAAGAUGGGCUCGCGUCCGAUUAGCUGGUUGGUGAGACAACAGCCCACCAAGGCGACGAUCGGUAGCCGACCUGAGAGGGUGAUCGGCCACAUUGGAACUGAGAUACGGUCCAGACUCCUACGGGAGGCAGCAGUGGGAAUAUUGCACAAUGGGGAAACCCUGAUGCAGCAACGCCACGUGUGGGAAGAAGCAUUUCGGUGUGUAAACCACUGUCAUGAGGGAAUAAGGCCUGUCUUCGGGCAGGAUUGAAUGUACCUUGAGAGGAAGCACCGGCAAACUUCGUGCCAGCCGCGGC
RNAcentral lists this ribosomal RNA (495 nucleotides) under uncultured bacterium. RNAcentral's name for it is "bacterial SSU rRNA". It matches the Rfam family "Bacterial small subunit ribosomal RNA", at positions 29 to 518 of the family's 1533-position model. The record is from RNAcentral.